Long non-coding RNA from Arabidopsis thaliana (thale cress), 280 nucleotides. RefSeq annotates it as other RNA. NCBI's taxonomy places the organism in Eukaryota, Viridiplantae, Streptophyta, Magnoliopsida, Brassicales, Brassicaceae. The record is from RefSeq. The transcript has a single exon.
ACCUCUCUUUUCUUUCUUCGUCUUGACUUUGAAUUGGAAGCGAUUACUCCCAUGAAAUUAAAUCAAUCGGAAACAGCGUACUCUCAAAGUUUAUAGAUCUGAUGUAGGACAAGAUCGAGAUCUCUCUAAUUUUGUAGAUCAGAGACCACAAGAAUAAUUAGUAGUAGAAGGGGCACCGAACGGGACGACGAAUAAGGCAUAAAGCUCCCUCCGCCGCUGCCACCACCAACUACGACAUCAUCAUAUCAAAGACAAUCGUCGCAAGGAAUCAUAGCAAAUU